Molecule: long non-coding RNA, 902 nt
Organism: Marmota monax (woodchuck)
Lineage: Eukaryota; Metazoa; Chordata; Mammalia; Rodentia; Sciuridae
Exons: 3
Source: RefSeq, a predicted model, not a curated record
CCUGGUGCUGUGUUCUGAGCUGUUUUCCUCUGCCGUGCCCUUAUACCAGGAUGUUCUUCUGCACCUCUGGCCCAGAGCAAUAAUCUGCCAUCUGUGGAUGGAGACCUCUGAAACUUGGCACUAAGUACCCAGAAAAAUAGCAAAUCAAUGUCCAGCAUUGAAUUUAGACUUCACCUUCAAACAAAGCAAGAAGCGCCAUGCUGAAUUUGGGUGCACAGUCUGGCCUUGGGAACAAGAAAAGGACCAAGCUGCAACUUCAUUAAAUGGAGCACUGAGUCUCCCACAAGAAAAGGUCAACAUUUCCAUUUGGGCAUUCAAACAUCUCAAGACGGGUUUGAGGCCUCAGUGUUCUAUUGAUUCAACCAUCCCCACGCUGAGCACAGAACUUUGCACAGAAUAGAUGGGCGAUGUCAAUCAAAGCUCACCGUUGGGGUUAUUUAUUUUCAGCUUGACUCACAGGGCUAUCAAAUAUUGAAGUUGAAGGGGAAGAAAGGUAAUUCUACUUUAGUACAUGUGUGCAAAUAAAGCUUUCACAAUUGAUGCAUUCCUGAAACUGAAAUUCAUGAAGAACACUUUGAAUAAGAAAGUGUCUUUCUGCCUUCAUUUGGCCUGGGUUUACUAAAUACUCAUUGACCAUAAAACACAAAAAUAGGGGUCUUCAGAGGAGACACUGACUCUAAAACAAACUAUUGUAAUUAAGUGCCAAGUGACAUGGAAAUAUAAAGCACUGAUGAUCAAGAAAUAGGAGGAAUUUUCUUUGGAGUACAAAAGAAAUUGGUUGCUUUAACACAUGGAGAAAAUUAUGAUAUUUUCCUGAGAAACUGUAUACACGGGUCAAAAGUUUGCUAAAAUUAUAAUAUUAAUGAUAGCAAAAUUGAAAAUAAUUUUUUUAUUUCUUUGAA